UCCUCCUUCCCUCUCCUCCUCCUCCUCCCGCUCCUGCCGGCCGCUGCCCGGUGGCAGGGCAGGGGCGGAGGGCGGAGCGCCGCCUGCAACCGCGGGGAGUGGCGGGGGGCGGCAGCCGAGAGGCGGCACCUGGGUCCUUCGCCCGUCUCCAUCACUCGCGGCUGCUGCGGAGCGGCCGCGGCCGAGCGGAGCGCAGGGGUGAGGUCUUUAUUAAUGUGCUGACUCGCCCAAAAUGUCCAUAAGAGAAUAAUGGAAGCCCCUGAAUACCUUGAUUUGGAUGAAAUAGAUUUUAGUGAUGAUAUAUCGUAUUCUGUAACUUCUCUCAAGACCAUUCCAGAAUUAUGUAGAAGGUGUGAUUCACAAAAUGAAGACAGAUCAGUUUCCAGUAGCAGCUGGAACUGUGGGGUCUCAACUCUUCUUGGAAAUGCACAGAAACCAACAGGAAUUGCAGAUGUGUGCAAUAAAUUCAGACCAGUGAAGAGGGUUUCUCCAUUAAAGCACCAGCCAGAAAGCUCUGAGAACAAUGAAAGUGAUGACCAGAAGAACCAGAAGGGAGAAUGCCAGAAAGGCAGUGAUUCUCAGUCUGCACCUCCAAAUGAUGACCAGAGUCCAGGAGAAGGAGAGAGCCUUAAAAGCAAAAGCACUGAGCCUGCUGUUCUGCUUGGGGAGCUGGAGCACUAUGACCUGGAUAUGGAUGAAAUUUUGGACGUGCCUUACAUUAAAUCAAGUCAGCAACCUGUUCCUUUUACAAAGGUAGCUCCUGAGAAAAAACUUUUAAGUGUGUGUUCAACUGUGAAUGGUCUAAGUGUCAAGAGCUGUCCUGCAGGGAGCACAGAGAGCUCGCCUACUGGUGGGACACAGUUCUGUGUGCUGUCUCCUGUGAAAGGCGCUCAGCUGAGAAAAACGCAGCCCAUUGUCCUUGAUCAGCACAAGCAUUCAGCAGAAGAAUUAGAGCUCUCCCAGCCUUUAGUGAAGUGCAGCUCAGCCCAUGAAGCUGAAGCCCCAGGCAAGGGCUUCCUCAGCAGGACACUUGCUGAUCCUCACGCUCACAAAGCUGAGAAGACUAUGCCGAACUGCCACCGAAGGACUUUCCACCUGCAGACAGCAGUGGCAGAGAGCAAGCAGCUGGAGGAGCUGGGUAUGAGCUGGAGCAGUGCAGGGGGCCUGGAAGAGAGGAGUGAAGAGGUGAAAAAAAUUAAGAGCAUCUUAAACAUUGUAAAGGAAGGCCAAAUAUCUUUACUGCCACAUUUAGCAGCAGAUAAUCUGGAUAAGAUCCACGAUGAAUGUGACAACAAUCUGUUGCAUGUAGCAGCAUCAAAGGGACAUGCAGAAUGCCUGCAGCAUCUCACUUCUUUGAUGGGUGAAGACUGUUUGAAUGAACGAAACAUUGAGCAACUAACUCCAGCUGGAUUAGCAAUAAAGAAUGGUCAGCUGGAGUGUGUUCGGUGGAUGGUAAGUGAAACAGAAGCUAUUGCAGAACUCAGUUGCUCAAAAGACCACCCAAGUCUUAUUCAUUAUGCAGGUUGCUAUGGCCAGGAGAAAAUCCUCCUGUGGCUUCUUCAGUUUAUGCAAGAACAAGGGAUUUCACUGGAUGAAGUUGACCAGGAUGGAAAUACUGCUGUUCACAUAGCUGCUCAACACGGCUAUCUAGGAUGCAUACAGACAUUGGUUGAAUAUGGAGCAAAUGUCACCAUGCAAAACCACGUGGGAGAGAAACCUUCGCAAAGUGCUGAGCGGCACGGGCACACCAUGUGUUCCCGCUACUUAGUAGUUGUGGAGACAUGUAUGUCACUGGCCUCUCAGGUUGUCAAGCUGACUAAGCAGCUGAAGGAGCAGACUGUGGAACGUGUAACAUUACAGAAUCAGCUCCAGCAGCUUUUAGAAGCCCAGCGAUCAGAGGGCAAGUCACUGCCCACGUCCCCAAGCUUGCCGUCAUCUCCUACUUCUGCAAAGCCCCAGUGGAAACCAUCUGAAGCAGAUGAAUUGUCUCCACCAAAAAGUAAAUUGAACACCCAAGAUGGGAUUCAGAUUCUUGGCAGCUUGGGAACAAGCACAUCUAGUCGAGCUCGAGCUAAGAUAAAAGAUGAGGAUUCAGAUAAAAUCUUGCGCCAGUUGUUGGGGAAGGAAAUCUCUGAAAAUGUCUGUAUGCAGGAAAAGCUGACUUUGGAAUUUCAGGAUGCUCAUGUAUCCUCCAAGAACGUGAAGAAGAUUUUGCCAGAGAAAAGGGAGUUAAAGUUAGCCCGACUGAGGCAACUGAUGCAGCGGUCUCUCAGCGAGUCUGAUACAGAUUCAGCUAAUUCUGAGGACCACAAGAACACUCCUGUGAAAAGAACUGACAAACCAAGACCUCAGCCUAUAGUGGAGAGUGUUGAGAGCACAGAGAGCUUGAACAUGAUGCUUAAGAAGCACACUUCCACAGCAGGACGGCGCUUCCCUUUUGGUAUCAGGGUUUCCAAGUCUGUGGAUGGCCACAGUCCUUCCCCGACUUCAGAGAGCAGCGAUCCAGAUAGUGAAACCCCAUAUCAGUCUGGUACAGUCCCUCAGAGCCAGUUUUGUGGAGACAACUCUCCAUCCAGCACAGACAGCACUGCUGCCCAGAAGGUUGCCACCAGCCCUAAGAGUGCUCUCAAGUCUCCAUCUUCAAAGCGCAGAACCUCUCAGAAUUUGAAACUCCGAGUAACUUUCGAGGAGCCUGUGGUGCAGGUGGAGCUAGCAGAGUCAGAACUAAAUGAGGAAAAGGAUAAAGAGCGGAGCAAAGGACUUGUGCGGGCUCCAGCCAGCUCUGGGGAGCAUGCAGGGGAUCAGCUGAAAAGGCCUUUCGGAGCCUUUCGGUCCAUAAUGGAGACACUGAGUGGCAACCAAAAUAACAACAACAACUGUCAAACAGCAAACCUCAUCAAAACCUCCUCAACUCUGCCUUUUACCUCACUAGGAAGGAAGACAACAGAAAGCAAGGCAAAUCCAGCAGUUGUCUCAAAAGGAAGAAACAAGCCAGUGAGUGCACUGAAAGAAGGAGGGGCCUUUUUCUUGUCUUACUGAGUAGUGCCUAAGUUUGACAGCUUCUUCCUUCUGCCUUUCUAUUGCAAAAUGAUGAACAUAAAUAUUUUAUUAUAUUUGACCUAGAGAAAGCCCAUCCACUUUUUAGUUUUGAAAAAAUUUUAUGUGUAGAGUCUGUGCUCUUAGGACAUAUGAUUCACAUAUUCUGUGUUGAAAGCUUUCCAGAUGUGUGAUUCACAUGGAAAUGAUGUUUGGUGUUGCAGUGAGUGACAAAAUACAUACUGAGAAUGCCAGUCUUGAAACCAUGGGUUUUCUGAGGAGUAAAUAACUGAAGGUCUAGUCCUGUCCUGUCCUAGAAAGACUGAUGAGGCCAACAGAGUAAGAAAAAUAACAAGGAAAAAUUGCACAAAUGGUCCUUCGUGCUUCUGUGGGAGUUACAGCCAACCCUAGGUGUUGAAGGUGUCGUCAACAAGUCUUCUUUGACCACCUUCUCUUCACAUCACAGAAUCUUCUUGUGUCAGAGCAUAUGAUUGGCCUGUCAAAAAACAUACUGGAUUCAGAUAUUCCCCUCUCCACAGUGAACACAGUGCCUUUUCUGGGAACCCAAAGGAAAGAGGCAUGACGAUAUCAAUUGGAAAAUCCAGAAAUCUGACAGUCAAAAGAGUACUGAAGAACCAGAGCUGCAGGAAUUCUUCCUCUAAAC
RNA transcript from Catharus ustulatus (Swainson's thrush), 3700 nucleotides. It is a transcript of the gene named synuclein alpha interacting protein, with no coding region annotated. The record is from RefSeq and is a predicted model, not a curated record. Lineage: Eukaryota; Metazoa; Chordata; Aves; Passeriformes; Turdidae. The transcript has 11 exons.